This 230-nucleotide ribosomal RNA is filed under the name uncultured bacterium. RNAcentral describes it as "partial 16S ribosomal RNA". It matches the Rfam family "Bacterial small subunit ribosomal RNA", at positions 562 to 791 of the family's 1533-position model. The record is from RNAcentral.
AAAGGGUCCGUAGGCGGUUUAAUAAGUCAGUGGUGAAAUCUGGUCGCUCAACGAUCAAACGGCCAUUGAUACUGUUAGACUUGAAUUAUAAGGAAGUAACUAGAAUAUGUAGUGUAGCGGUGAAAUGCUUAGAUAUUACAUGGAAUACCAAUUGCGAAGGCAGGUUACUACUUAUGGAUUGACGCUGAUGGACGAAAGCGUGGGGAGCGAACAGGAUUAGAUACCCGAGU